GUGCUUGCAGGUGCAGCACCAUCAAGAUUCACAUCCAGUUCAUCUUCAGUUAUGCGGUAGUUCGUUCACGCAGUUGCUAUAUCUGCGGCAUAUCUGAUGAGAUGAGAAUCUUGAUGAUGCUGCAUCAGCAGACAC
RNAcentral lists this microRNA precursor (135 nucleotides) under Dichanthelium oligosanthes. RNAcentral describes it as "mir-172 microRNA precursor family". It matches the Rfam family "mir-172 microRNA precursor family". From Rfam's summary of the family: mir-172 has been experimentally verified in Arabidopsis thaliana. This family is thought to target mRNAs coding for APETALA2-like transcription factors. The record is from Rfam by way of RNAcentral. Lineage: Eukaryota; Viridiplantae; Streptophyta; Magnoliopsida; Poales; Poaceae.